RNAcentral lists this long non-coding RNA (6094 nucleotides) under Chlamydomonas reinhardtii. Its description in RNAcentral is "long non-coding RNA (CREI_LNC001310)". The record is from RNAcentral. Lineage: Eukaryota; Viridiplantae; Chlorophyta; Chlorophyceae; Chlamydomonadales; Chlamydomonadaceae.
UGCAGGGCCGUGCGAACUCCUCCCACACCGUCAGCCUGCACUCGGGACCGCGUUCCUCUCGUCCUGACAUGGCGGUGCCUGCUGGCCCAAACAAACCCGCAGAUGCGUGGCGACGCGCUGGCUCGCUCGCUGCUGGUGGCGCAGUUCGUGUCCGCCGGCCAGCCGCUGCUGGCCGCAGCCAACCUGUCGCGCCCCGGCGUGCCGCAGCUGCUGGCGGCGCUGGCGGCGGUGCGGCGCGGCUACCGCUCCCUCAUCUGCCCCGCCUCCAUCACCGCGCCUGAGCGCGAGGUGGCCUGGCACUCGCCCUACGGCGGCGGCGAGCCCGACUGGAGCGGCUCCAACCCCGACCCCGUCGCCAACUGCGUGCUGCUGACGCUGGGCGGCGGCGCCAGCCGGCCCGGGCACAUGCUGGCGGCGGGCUUCAACCCGCAUGGCGAGCCCAUGUCCGUGUCGCUGCCGCGCCCGCCCGCCGGCGCCGUGUGGCGGCUGCUGGUGGACACGUCGCGGCCCGUGCCCACGGCGACCGCCGGCGGCGCCAGCCUGGGCGCGGUGCUGCCGCCGUCGGAGCAGGCGCAGUACACGCUGGGGCCGUUUGGCUCGGUGCUGCUGGAUGCCGUGCCGCAGGCCGGCAGCGCGGCGGCGGUGGGCGGGCCGGUGGCAGCGGCGGCUGCGCCUGGCUACGGCUUGUCGCCCGCGGCGGCGGCGGCCCGGAAGCACUGAGCGCUGUAAUGUUGUGUUUACGUUGACGUAUAUGCGAGUGCGAGUAAGACCUCGACUACAGGGCUGUGCUCCCAAAGCACUUCGGCCGGGGCCUGUGCAAGCAGUGCUACGGAUGGCAGUGGCGCAAGAACAAUGAAAGAGAAGGGCGGGUUUGCAUACGUUGUGGUGUAGUAGACGCGCCAGUGACACAGGCAACAAGCAACGUGUGAGUGGGUGCGAAGAUGCACCACUUGUUGGCGAGGGGUUUCUGUCGUGCUAGCGGUUGCCAAAUGCGGCCAGGGCCAGGUGUUGUUGUAUUGUUGCAUCAGUGUUUGUUAGUGCGUGGGCGCAUCAACCGCCUAUGAAGAUGUGCAAUAAGCAGGAAUUGAGCUUUAAGAUUGCAGACCACACGUGGGCAGGACGGCCCUGAACUGCUUGUCAUUCUUGGGCUCAGAGGUGCGAAGGGGUUUACUGUGAAUGCGAAGGCUUGUACGAGAGACUGCAGAGGUUGUGAUUGAAUAUGUGGCAAUGAUCAAAGCAUGGAGUAUGGAGAGUGGCAAGGUCAGGUUGCAUGGGCCAUGUGGAUAAAAGCGGGUGGCGGGUGGGGGCAUGGGUGGGGUGAAGCUGUGGUCGAACGUGCUGAUGAACUGCAAUUACUUGGUGACUUUGCUCGUGUUUUACAGUGCCCUCCACGGGUGCGACAUGCCCGCACGGUACUCGGGCCAUCCGUGGCUCUUGCCAACGCGGCGUCCCACACGCCGGAGCAGUGUGUUGAGUUUGCGCCUAGAACAGACGACCACUCAGGAUGGUGUAUUGAGGCUCGCGCUGAGACAGGAUCUCCCAUCACAACCCAUCUAGCGCCCUAAGCCAACGGACCUAGGCCGGAUUGCUAGCGGAUAGCUGGGGAAGACAGCAUCAACCAGUGCUCGUAUCUUCCAUCUACACUGUAGAAAUGUGCCCAAAAUCCGCCGAAGGCGGAGAAAAUUUUUUGGGUGUGGGUGCCGCGCAUCUACGCAGGUGUAGACGUUUUGGCCGGUUUUGGCGCAAAAAUGGGGGAAGCGUAGACGUUUUGGGGGGCUUUGGGGCUUGAGUGUAGAUGCCGCGGUCAGGGUCAUCUAUGCAUGUGUAGAUGCCGGGUGCCUGAGGGCAUCUACAAGAUACGAGCACUGGCAUCAACCUGUCCUCCAAACUCUGCAGCACGCACACGCUGCCGCACACACGCAUGCAUCACCCGCCAUCCUAAGCCAGACGCCACUGCCACUAAUCCAGCUGCGCCGCUUGGGCGGCCUGCCCAGCGCAGCUGGCCAUGGCGUGCCGUCCUCCACACACGUGGUGAUGACACGGAUGUUCGCCGCAGCGUUCAUGUCGCGGUGCCUGUUUCGCAGGGGACAACAGGGACACGGAUGCUAUGUUAUGUGCACCCGCCCACACCUGCACCCGCUCAAACCUGCAGACUUACCAGACCGUUCUGCAGUCUUGGCAGACGAGCAUACGCAUGCGAGCUCUUGUGUGGCGUCCUGGUGCCACAUUUGUAGCACACCUGUUUGUAAGAGGCACACCCGGUCAUCGUCAUUUUGCAAACACCCAAUUAACGCUUGCAUGCCAGUUGUAAAUUAUAGUAUCAUAGGCGCACAUUCUUACCUGGGAUGUUAGGUACUCGUCAAUAAUGUACACGCUUGCAUACCGCUCCGCCAGGAGCUUCUGCAUCGUCAAAAUACCAGCACAAACGCAGGAGAGAUGCGCCAUACAUGCUGUCACCCACAGUCCGACAUGAACGGUACUCGCAGAUACUGACAAAUAUGGGACAGCGCAGCCCCAGCCUCCAAGAUCCGCAAGUCAGCGUCAGGGGAGGGAAUAGAGACACUAGUCUGAAAGUAGAAGCCCGCAACCGCACCUUCUUGCCUCACCUCUCUAGAUCAACUUGCUGUCGUCCAGUCGUGGAUUGUGCCAAUGUAAAGGGAGGCUCGCUACAACCAAACUGCGAUGAUCGUUCAUCUAAAGCACCUUUGCACGACCUGUGCCUAGCCACGCCCCUUACUGCAACCGCCAACCCACAUGAGAAACGUCAUUUGCCACAGUCGCACCGAGUACACUGCGCCCCAUUCAAAGCCCAAUACGAGAAGGAUGAAUGGGGCAGCAAGCAGAAGCAUCCAUCUUGACUGUGAGCAGCUGUUGUGCAGCGAUGUGAGGAGGCCGUUCAUUAUUGCAAAGGUUGUGCAGCAGGGUUCCAGCCAAGCCUUCAUCAUGACAAGCUCCACCUACUCAUCGCAACAUGUGCGGACAUAGGCUUGAUUGUUUAUUGCGUUGUUUUCCAGCCGCAAAGGUUGUGCGGGGUUCCAGCGAAGCCUUUGUCAGGGGCCCCACCACACGGAAAACGACGCCAGAAACGAUCAGGCCCAUGUCCGCAUAUGUUGUGAUGAGUGGGUGAAGCUUGUCAUGAUGAAGGCUUGGCUGGAACCCCGCACAACCUUUAUCAAUAGUGAUCGGCCUCCUCGUGCCGCUGCACAACAACCGCUCACAGUCAAGGUGGGCACGGUCCUCCAGUCCUGGUGCUGGUGCGACGACGGGGUCUGCAAGGCGCCACGAACAUGCUCCUGUCGGCCACAUGGUGAUGCGCUGCUUCAGCGAAGUGCCCGAACAGCACCCAAAGCAAGCUGCCAUCACCUGCAUCAGCAAUCACGCAAGCACACAGAAACUCUUUAGGGUCUGCUCCAAUGCUUUUGCCCUGUUUAGCCCCGGAAGUGACGCACCAUGCGGGUCCAGAAGAGGGGCUGUGCUCUGAGUGGCAGCGCCUGCAGCAUGAGUGAAGGGGUGAGCAGGAGCAUUACGGUAAUGCGAUUUCACACGCAAUUUCGAUGCAGAUGAUUGCUUGGGGCGCGCACGUAUGCUGAGCGAAUGGGCAGGGUCACAGGAGUCGGUGAAGACAAACAUAGAGCUACACAGGCAUGACUUUCCUGGGUUGCCGGCCACGGUUGCCGGCCUGCAUUGCACGAAACCAUGUCGCACCACCACCAACUCACCGCCUGCUGCCACGCUUACUCUCCCCAAUACCCAGCGGCAGAGGCAGAUCCCGGGGAUGGCCAGCCUACUUGGCGCUCUUCGUGAUAGCUAGGGCUGGUGCUCAGGCCCAUCCGGCCGGUUAACAGCGCCGCGGGCAAACAUCAACCCCAACAACCCCAACCCGCUUUGGGACACUCAUUUGUUGGACGGGCAACUGGUCGCCUUCGGAACCCGCGCAGCUGUGCCCACGACUGCAAGCCUACGCAGCCGCGCUCUUCGCGGUAGCUCAAGGGAUGCUAGGGCUGGUGCUAAGGCCCGACCGCCGGUAAUCCAGGCCCUAGGCCAGAAUUUGAACUCACCGGCUUCUGCCAGUCCAGCCGCCGCCGCCGCUGCACGACAUGGGAGCGGUCGGGGAACACGUGGAGAUUACGGGGUGCAUGUCAGAGUGUGUAAAUGCGACGCGCGGAAACGCGGUGCACUGCGGGAGGCUUGGGACACAACCCCAAUACGCCUCGGUUAUCAGUUGUCGGUUGGUCGGUCAGUCGGACACGUUCAGCUGCAGCAACGUACUCUAACCGUUGAAGCUCGGCAAAAACGCCCAUCAGGCCUCAAUACCAACAAGAACGCAAGGUCAGUGCAUCGAUUGUGGUGGUGCAACACCGCAACGCUCACCGUCCUGCUGCUGCUUCUCCUUGCGCAGCUGCUCCUCCUGCUUGCGCACGUGCUCCUUCUCCUUGCGCAGGUGCCCUCCUUCUUGUGCAAGUGCUCUUCCUUCGUGCUCAGCCGCUCCAGGUCCUGCUCGGCAGCUGUCAAGUCCAUAACGCACGACUGCUGCUCCUCAGCCAGCGCCACCCUCUCCUGCUCGCGGAGAUCUGGGCGCUUCAGCUUCUCGGCUAUUUCGCGAAGCUUCGCCCUGGCCGCGUUCCUGGUCCGCGUUGCCUUCUCCAUUGCGGCUUCUGCGUGGCGCAGUUGCGCUUCGACAUCUUUUAUCUGUUUUGUGACGUCGUCAAUUUCAGACCCAAUGGUAGCAGAGUCGCGCACGCGUUUGACCAUUUUAGCGGUGCUCAGAGCAAGCUUUGCGGUUCCGGUGAGGAAAGUACAGUAAUGCAACUUGCAUAUGCACUGCAGGUAUUUGGCAGUUGCUGCGCUGUUCUUCAUCGGGCUGCUCCGGUGCGCUGCACUAUGCAAACAUGAGCAGUCCGUACUGCGCCCCACCCUGCGCAUUACGGAUACGGCGCGCGUGCCGCCGGAGCUGCAGUCUGGCCCGGAUGCGGCUGCCCAACGCUCCGUGCUGCUGGCCCGUGUGCCGGCGGCGUGGCGGGUGGCGGCGUCGGCCAUACUGCAUGCACCUGGCGGCGCGGCCUCCGCGCCUCCUGCCCCCCAGGCAGGCUGCUAAUUGCGGAGAGCCUACUGUAGGGUGGCGGCACGGCGCGGCUGAAGUGCUGACCCUCACGGUGAAGCAGGCAUCCAGCUUCAGCUCGCGCCUGCAUUUGAAGCGCUACGCAUGCGUCACUUGGCUUGCAUCCAAGAGGCCUACAGCGGCGCCGCGCCGCCGGCGGAGGCGAUUCAUGCACUGCGCGGGGCCCUGGCACGGCUGUGGGCUCUGGUGUGGGACCCGCGAUACAAGGAACCGCUCUGGCGCCUGGCAGUCAAUGGAGUCACGGGCUUUGGGAUGCUUGCGGCAUUGGCCGCGGAUGGGCGUGUGAAUGGGACAGUGUCAAGGCAGGUUGGUAAAGUCCCGUAGGGUGCAGCUGAUUCCCAGAACCCAGCAGAUGACAAACAAUAUGCAACGGCAGGGCAGGAGUACGCGGCCGGUCGAACGCCGGAGUUACUGUACCGACGAGUUGCUGGCUGGCUGGAAGUUUGCUGAUGCGCAUGCCUCACGCUCCGGGCGCCCGGCCAGGCGAUAGCACCACACAGACACACCGCAACGCCACACUCGCGAGGCAGUGCCGCAUCGCACCUGCAGGAAGAUGACCAGCGUCCACGGAUGGCCGCGGAUGGGCGUCAGAUGACUGCUGGGGCUAGGGGUCACCACUUCUGGGACUGUGUAGUGGCGGAGGCUCUGCAUGAUGUGUUGCGGGAACAUGCGAAUGUGGACAUCGCACGGCACCAGUUGUGGUUGGCCCAUGCGCCACCAGGGCUAUCGCAGGCGGUGUGGGACACCGUGUUCUUGGCUGCUGUGGCGGCACUGGAGUACGGCCGACAGCGCCUUUACGCUUGCCGUGGUGCCUGGCUGGCCGCAGCCAACCUGUCGCGCCCCGGCGUGCCGCAGCUGCUGGCGGCGCUGGCGGCGGUGCGGCGCGGCUACCGCUCCCUCAUCUGCCCCGCCUCCAUCACCGCGCCCGAGCGCGAGGUGGCCCGGCACUCGCCCUACGGCGGCGGCGAGCCCGAC